AUGAUAGGUUCCUUUUGGAAUAUUCGUGGUCUAGGACAACCAGGUAAAAUUCAGUGCCUAGGGGAUUUUAUUAAUAGCAAUCAUAUUGAUUUUGUUGGUUUCUUUGAAACCAAGAGGGGAAAAAUUGAUGAUAUUACCAUUAGGAGAAUUUCUGGUAGAAAUGAUUUUUCUUGGCAACAACUCCCUGCUAUUAAUACUGCUGGUGGGAUCCUUGUGGGGAUUAAUAAUGAUCUGUUUGAGAUAAUUGGCUUUAUUAAUAAAACAUACUGUGUUGUGACUACUGUUAAGAACAAAAAAGAUGGUUUUGUUUGGCACUUUGUUGCUGUGUAUGGUACUGCUUACAAUGAUCUGAAAAUGAAAUUUAUUGCUGAACUACAUGAUGUAAUGGCAAAUCUCACAUAUCCUGUGAUUUUGGGUGGAGACUUUAAUUUGGUGAGAUCUGCUACAGAUAAGAGCAAUGGCAUCAUUAAUAAUCAACUUGCCUUCCUUUUCAAUGAUUGGAUUAAUAGGUGGGGUCUUAUGGAAAUUAGCAUUGCUAAUCGAAGUUUUACUUGGAGUAAUAAUCAGGAUGAUCCUAUUUUUGCUGCUAUUGAUAGAGUCUUUGUGUCCCCCUCUUGGGAUGCUCGGUUUCCUUUAUCCGUUUUAACUGCUUUACCCAGAAUUGGUAGUGAUCAUACCCCCCUGAUUUUAGACACACGAGCUAGGAGGGUUACCUCCCCCAAAAAAAUUCGGUUUGAAAAAUGGUGGCUUGACUACCCAGAAUUUAAAACUAUGUUUAUAAAGGUGUGGAAUACCCCGGUGGUGGGGAGGACUGCUAUUGAUGUUUGGUUAAAAAAAGCUAAAUUGUUUCGGAAAAAGGCUAAAGGCUGGAGUAUUAAUAUUGAAGCUGCUCUUAAGAAAAAGAAGAAAGACCUUAUGCAAGAAUUUGAUAUCCUAGAUGUUUUUGCCGAGUCAAAUCGUGUAUCGGAUGCGGAUAGGCUUCGGAUGAGGGAGAUUAAAAAAGAGCUCGAUGAUAUCUUGCGUAAGGAGGAGGUUGCCUUGUGGCAACGUUCGAGGGAUCGUAGAAUUAAAGAUGGAGACAAAAACAAUGCCUAUUUUCAUGCGCUUGCCAAUCACAGGCAUAGAAAAAAUCAUUUGACUGAGCUAAAUGGGGAUUCGGGCCCUGUUUUUACUACUAAUGAAAUGCUAGAUGUAGCUACUACUUUUUAUAAAAAUCUGUUUUGGUAUGAAGCAAAACAUGAUAUUCAUCUUGGCCCUUCCUUCUGGGAGGAAGAUGAGCUGGUUACUAUAGAAGAAAAUGAAAUGCUACAAAGAAAAUUUUCUGAAGAGGAGAUUAAGGAAGCCAUUUUUGGCUCUUAUGCACAUGGUGCGCCUGGCCCUGAUGGCUUGUCUUUCCUCUUUUAUCAAACCUUCUGGGAGGUAAUUAAAAAAGACUUUAUGGCCAUGGUUAGAGAUUUUGAGGAGGGUAAAUUAGAUAUUCAUAGACUUAAUUUUGCUCUGAUUGUGUUGAUCCCAAAGGAGGUGAAUGCUAAAGACAUGAAGAACUUCAGACCCAUCAGUCUUAGUAAUUGUGCUAUUAAGAUUUUUACAAAAGCUAUGACUAAUAGAUUUUCCCCUAUCAGUCAUAGAAUGAUUUCUCCCAAUCAAACUGCUUUUAUCAAGGGCAGAUAUAUUCUUGAAAGUGUGGUCCUGGCACAUGAGGUUAUUCAUGAAGUUAAGAAAUCUGGUUCGCAAGGGCUUGUGCUCAAACUAGAUUAUGAAAAAGCAUAUGAUAGAGUAAGUUGGGACUUUCUUUUUGAAAUGCUUAGUUCUAGAGGUUUUGGGCAAAAAUGGAUUUCUUGGAUUAAAACAACUCUUUUGCAGAGUACAUUUAGUGUGAGGAUCAAUGACACUACUGGGCCUUACUUUAUGGGGGGGAAAGGUCUCAAACAAGGAGAUCCCUUCUCCCCCUUGCUUUUUAACUUAGUUGCUGAUGUUUUCUCCAAAAUGCUAAUCAAGGCUUCAAAGCAUGGCCUGAUCUCUGGUCUUCUGACCAACAUUAUCCCUGGGGGAGUGAUCAGCUUGCAAUAUGCUGAUGAUACACUUCUUUUUCUUGAGAAUUCAUAUGACAAAGCCAGGAAUUUUAAGUGGAUUUUAUCCUGUUUUGAAAACCUAUCUGGUAUGAAAAUCAAUUUCCACAAGAGUGAUUUACUCACCAUAAAUGUGGAGGAGGAGGAGUCUAAAACCUUUGCUCAAAUUUUCUGUUGUAAGUUGGGGUCUUUCCCUAUCAAAUACUUGGGAGUGCCUCUGCACUAUGACAAAUUGAGGAGAGAAGAUCUACAACCAAUUAUUGAUAGAAUUAUCAAGAAUAUUUCUGGUUGGCUGGGUAGAUACUUGACCUACAGGGGGAAGUUGAUCUUAUUGUGUGCAUGUAUUGUUAGUAUUCCUGCCUACCUUAUGGCCAUGAUUAAAUUCCCUAAAUGGGCAAUUAAUGCCAUUAAUUCUCAGAUGGCUCAUUUUUUCUGGGGUAAUAUAGAUGAUCAACAUAAACACCACCUGGCCAACUGGGGUCUGGUUACUAGAAAAAAGGAAUUUGGGGGACUCGGUAUCCCCAACUUGAAAGAAUUCAACAUGGCCCUUUUGGCCUCAUGGGGAAAACGUUUCUUUGAAUCUAAUGACAGUGAUUGGAAAAAGAUUGUGGCUUUUAAAUAUAACACUCACUCGUCGAAUAUUCUGUGGGCCAAGCAAAAAAUUGGGUCCCCUUCUGGAAAAGUGUGA
RNAcentral lists this ribosomal RNA (2757 nucleotides) under Triticum aestivum (bread wheat). Its description in RNAcentral is "partial small subunit ribosomal RNA". The record is from RNAcentral. Lineage: Eukaryota; Viridiplantae; Streptophyta; Magnoliopsida; Poales; Poaceae.